GUUAAAAAUAAAGAAAUUAUUGGAGUUAUCUUAUCAUUUCUAUCUAGUCCCAAUAGGCUUGAUGAUUUACCAAUGAAUCGCGAAAUGCUAUGGUUCUUACAUAUAAUUUCUGAAUUUAUUCAGAAGUAAUUCGCGAGAUCAUGCAUCUCUCUUUCCUAGUUAUAACGGAAAAGGGUAAAGGGUACAGCUGGGUGGUCCAGCCUAUUCUUGAAAUAAACAACUCGCACACACUCCCUUCCAAAAAAAUCAAUACACCAAGCACUACACUUAGAUUUAUUGGAUUUAUCUCGUCUUAACAAUGAAUCAAAUGAAAGUGAAAGAAAUCGAAUUUCACACCUUUUUCC
Molecule: long non-coding RNA, 344 nt
Filed under: Nicotiana benthamiana
Lineage: Eukaryota; Viridiplantae; Streptophyta; Magnoliopsida; Solanales; Solanaceae
Description: long non-coding RNA (NBEN_LNC032268)
Source: RNAcentral